Long non-coding RNA from Pan troglodytes (chimpanzee), 5478 nucleotides. RefSeq lists it as uncharacterized. NCBI's taxonomy places the organism in Eukaryota, Metazoa, Chordata, Mammalia, Primates, Hominidae. The transcript is spliced from 3 exons. The record is from RefSeq and is a predicted model, not a curated record.
GCUGAGGAAGUCAUUUAUGUAACGGACUCUGUGAGAUCAGAGACAAGGAGUAAAAUGCCUGAGCUCAAGUGACAACAAGCAACCCCAAACUAGAGACAGGAUCCUUCUCCCCACUUCAAGCAGAUCCCAGCAUGAAUCCUGCAGUGUGGUGAUGGCAAAAGUCGGUGCAGGACCGCUGGGACUCCUGGACCUUCUCACAUCUCUGACAGCACCAGCAGCAGAAAACAUCGCCGAUUUCAUCUGUUCCUUCAGUCCCCAGAUAGCAGAUGACUGGUAGGAAGAUGAGGCAAGUUUGUGGUCCAUUGUCAUGGAUAGUGGAGACAACAAUGGGCCAGAAGUGGUAAGACCUGAAUCCAAGACUCAGCUCUGCCGCUUGCUAAAUGGGACUUUGAAUAAACCAUUUCUCUGCACUUAAGUUCCUUACCAACAAAAUGAGGGAAGUGGCCUACAUGCCUAGAUAUCAACAUUUCAUGUCAUGUAGAGAUCUAGCAUCACAAGACUCCAAAUCAUCCUCUGUUGCCUUUAAGAUUUCAGCACGGUGAAGGAAAAGUAGCAGAAGACUGAAUGCAUACUCAUUUUUCAAGCUCUGGAUUUAAUCUUUCCAUAGCUGGAAUUGCCUCCUCCUCAAAAGCCUUAUUUGUUCAUUUAAUUGGGGCAACAUGAAAUAAUGAUGUAUCAUUGACAGAGAACAGGGGGCUUAGGUUCUCAUCUUGGUCCUAGUGAUUACUCUAUGCAUAACCUCAACUUCUUUAUCUGUACAUUGGGAACAAUAAUUCUUACUCCACUUGUCGUGUUGAAACUGAAUUAUAUAAUUCAUAAAUUAAAACACCAAAUUCUGAUAAAUGCUAAAUGCCAUUUUCUUAUCUUGUUCUUUCCUAUAAUGCCCAUUUUGAUAUAAACCAGGCUCCCUUGUCAGUCUUGCAAAAGGUAUUCUCAAGAAGAACUUAUAUCUUUGGUUUAUCAACAAAUUUGCAAAGCUGUGUUGAUAAUCUAGAGCUGAGUCUUUUAACAAGUUUUAACAAUAUCUCAAUUACUAUGAUGUAGGUCUCUUAAUAAAAUGUAAAUGUAAAUGUGACAGAAGUCAACAUUAGGACUUUUAGGAAGGGAUAUAGACACUCAACAUUCCUCUUUGUUCAGGAGGGUGACAUAGCACAGCUUGCCACCUGUGAGCUAACCUUAUCUAGAACACAGUAUAGGAACUACUGCUUGACUAGAAAACUAAUUUAUAAAGCUUAAGGAACUUAAGGGACUUUCAGGGACUAAUUUACCAUCAUAAAAUAUCUAUCUCUACGAAGAAAGAAGAGAGUUUUAAGUACUUGAAAAUAACAAUCUUAUAUUUUAGACUUUUUGAGUGAAACUUCUUCACCCUUGCAAUAGACUGGCCAGAAAAAGAGUGAUUGCCAUCUCCCAUCUCUUAGAAUAGCAUGCUUGCCUGCAGACUCUGUGGCCAUGUUUCAACAACUGGAUUAGACCUCUUUCAUUAUCAAAUCCAUAUCUGAUCAAUUUCAAGUUGUUCCUGUCCCUUGGGAGUGGUUUGCCAUUUCCUGCCUAUGACUGAAUUCCUGCUUUCUUCUUAUCCUCAAUAGCUCAUGGCACGGACAUUCUCGUGUGCCUUGUCCACAUCAUGACCCUGCUAUCCAUUUGGCUGACCUCCACACUUUGUGUUUCCCGCUUUCAUAUCACAUGAGACUCUCAAGGAGAGAGUUUCAGGAUGGGUAAAGCUAAGAAGUAAAAAUAGAAAAGGUGGUGAAAAUUCAGUAGAAUAGCAUACAGGUUGACAGAAGAACACAUUUAUUUUCUAGUGGGGAGUGAUCCGUGAAGAAAGACCCGAAUCAAGAAGUCUUUCAGAAUUCUGGUUUUAAUAGUUUCCCAAGUUUACUUAUUAACAUUUACAUUCAAGCCAGAGAGAAAAGAGAGGAAGUCAUUCAAGAGAAAAUUGUCACAAGAAGAGCCUAUCCAAUGGAAAUGGCCACCUCUUAUUGAUCACUUACCGUAGGCUGGGUGUAUAGGGCAAGGGUCCUUAAGAUUAGCUGCAUAGCAGAAUCACCAGGGGAGCUUUUACAAAUCCUGAUGCCAGGGCUAACUGCAGACCAAUACAGGUGGAAUCCAACAUAUUUAAAGCUACAUAAGUCAUUUCAAUGUGCAGCUAAUUUUGAGAGCCACUUUCAAUGGUGCUAGAGCCAGCUCUUAUUAGCUCACAGAAGCCAAUUAUUAAAUUUUCAGGAAUUCUGUAAGCGAAACACAUUGGCCACAGAGGGAAUAUUUACACCAUGGAAAUUUACAAAUGCUGCAAAUCGUUUUUUUAUCUCUCUGGAGAACUAGUUUUUAAACAUUUACAAACACACUGGUGGCCCUAAGGGGUAAACAUAUAACUUGCUAUUUAAAUCUGGGCAAUUUUAAGACACAUAGAGGGGAACAAAACAUACUGGAGCCUGCCAGAGGGUGAGGGGUGUGAGGAGGGAGAGGAUCAGGAAGAAUAACUAACGGGUACUAGGCUUAAUACCUGAGUGAUGAAGUAAUCUGCGUAACAAACUCCCAUGACAACGCAAGUUUACCUGUGUAACAAACCUGCACAUGUACCCCUGAACUUAAAAUAAAAGUUAAAAGAAGAAAAAGCACAAAAAAAAAAGAACAGAAAGAAGACAUUGUUAAUAAUUAUGCCAGGACAAUUAGCUUGAAUCAGAAAUUAUGAUCACUUUAAGUAUCUAGGUAGUUAAUACUCACAAUACCUAUGAAAGACAGUUAUCAUAAUGGCCAUUUAAUGAUUAGUCAACAGUGUCUUGGGGAAUUUAAGUAAGUUUCUCAAAUUUCUUUCACACAAAUUAGAAUUAAAGGAAUCAGAAUUGAAGUGAAUCUGACUACACUAAGCCUAUCACUUGUGACAGCCAUGGGAAGAUAUCAUUGGUUGCUGAGGAGCAGAAAUAAGCAGAGACCUAUUGUGUUAGGUUAUCAUUCAUUUCAGGUACUUUAUGGAGUAGCAAUGGUCUAAAAUAGUGAGUUUUAUAUAGGAUUCAUUUGAACAUAUUUCUGAUGACUGUAUAACAAGUUAGAAACUUAAAAUGUAAAGAUGUGGUCCUAAGGCAGAAAAAUCGGAGAAUAAAUGUUCUACUGAAAUGUCUUCUGUGUAACUAUGUCCUGUGUGGGAUGAAAAAUCUAUUAACACUUGAUGUUUAAGAGAGAACUCAAGAAUCACCUGGCUGUUAGGUAUUUGUGCUCCAGGUUGGUUGAGAGGUGAGACAGAGAGGGAGAGGGAAAAGGGAAGGAGGGAGAAAGAAGGGAGAGAGGAAAUGGGAGAGAGUGAGGGAGAGAUGGUGACUGAAUUAGACAGAGAUGGAUGAUCGUGUUAUCUUGUUACCUUUCUUUUAUCACUGACUAUUCUACCAAACACAAGGCAUAUUUAAAACUAUCUCCACUCUGUACAGUCUCAUUCCACACUUCUUUCCCAAUUCUCAGCAGUUGAACUUGCCUCCUACUUUAGAUUAAAAGUGGAAGCUGUUAGAUUGGAAGUAUCGAUCCUAAACCUACACACACAUCCACCUACACAUAACACAUUCCAUCUUCUCUCUCCCUAUUACACUGGCAGAGCCAUUUCUCCUCGUAUCUAAAGUCAUCUUUUCCUUCUGGCCCUUGAAUUCUCCCAUCCUCCACAUCCAUGCACUGUCAGGAUCUCUCUAGUACAUUUCUCUCAUUCUCCCUCAUUUGGAUCUACUCCAUUGGCCUUUGUCAUUGUUUGUUUGCCUUUAAAAACAACAUUUUAUUAGAGCUCAUAAUUUUAUGGUCAGGAAUUCUGUGGUCAGAAAUUCAAGCUCCUUUUGGUUGGCCAAGUCUUCUUUUCCACCUCUUUUGACUAAGGUCACUCCAUGGAAUUCAGCGGGCAGAUGGUCAGGCUGGGAGGUCUGCCAUGGCUCUGCUCACAUGGCUGAUGUCUCAAUGGGGAUGGCCUCAGCUGGGGUCACUGGCCACGGUACCUACAGAUGGCCUCUCAAGCACGGUGGCACCUGGGUAGCCCUGCUUCUAUUUAAUUUUUUUUUUAUUUUUAUGAUUUGUAUCAAUACAUAAUAUUUGUACAUAUUAUGGGGUACAUGCAGUGUUUUGAUACAUGCAUACAAUGUGUAAUGAUCAAUUGGAGUAUUUAGGAUAGCCAUCACCUCAAAUGUUUACCAUUUCUUUGUGUUAAGAACAUUUCAAGUCUUCUCUUCUAGCUAUUUUUAAAUAUAAGAUAUGUUGUUAACUAGAGUCACCCUACUGUGCUAUUGAACACUAGAACUAUCCCUUCCAUCAAAUUGUAUUUUUGUACCCAUUAACAAACCUUGCUUCAUCCCUCUCACCACAUCCAUCUCUCCUACCACAGCCUCUGGUAACUAUCAUUUUCCUCUCUACCUCCAUGAGAUCAACUUUUUAGCUCCUAUAUUAUGAGUAAGGACAUGUAAUAUUUGUCUUUCUGUGCCUGGCUUAUUUCACUUAACAUAGUGACCUCCAGUUCCAUCUAUGUUGCUGCAAAUAACAAGAUUUCAUCUUUUUAAUGGAUGAAUUGUAUUCCAUUGUGCGUACGACUCACAUUUUCUUUAUCUAUUCAUCCAUGGAUGGACACAGGCUGAUUCCCUAUCUUGACUAUUGUGAAUAGUGCUGCAAUAAACAAGGAAGUGCAGGCAUCCUUGUGAUAUACUGAUUUCCUUUCCUUUGGAUCAAUUCCCAGUGAUGGGAUUACUGGACUGUGUGGUAGUUCUAUUUUUUCAUUUCUUGAAGAAACUCUAUAUGGUUUUCCAAUGGCUGUACUGAUUUACAUUACACAACAGUGUACAAGAGUUCCCUUUUCUCUGCAUCCUUGCCAGCAUUUGUUAUUUUUGUCCAUUGGCUUUUAAGUAUUCUUAAAUCUCUCCUCAAAAAAAAAAAAAAAAAAAGAAAAGAAAAGAAAAGAAAAGAAAUCUCACUAUUCUACCAAACCUUCACACCUCUGUUUCUUCUUUCAUUCACAGUCAAAUAUCUUGAAAGAGCUACUUUUUCUUGCUAAUUUCAUUUCUGUAUCUCCCACUCAAUCCUCAAGACCUUCUGAUCUGACUUUGCUCCCUUCUUGCCCUUAUCACGCCACUGAAACAGCUCUUGGUAAGGCCAUCAAAACCUUCAUUUACAUGAUCUCUGUCUGAUUGAUACUUUUUAUUCCUAACUUGAAUAAACUCACUAGAAUUUGACAUCCCUGAUCACUUUCUCUCUUUGGUUUCUGGUUUCCAUGACUUAACACUCCUGGUUUUCCUCCUAAAUUAGUAAUUGCUCCUCCUCAAUGUCGUUAGAAAAUUUGCCCUCUUCUACACAGCCACCAAAUGCUGUUCAAAACACGGCCUGUGCCCUCUUCUCUCUGCUCUCUCACCUCUCAGUUAGCCAACCUGGAGCACAGAAACCUAACACCCAGAUGAUUCUUGAGUUCUCUCUUUUUCAACUGUGGCACUACCGAUGUUGUGGAAUGGACAAUUUCUUGUUAUG